CCAAAUAUUUUUCGCGAAAUUACUAUGACGUUUGACAAAGGCCUACGAAGUAACACACAAUAUUCCAACAAUAAACGGAAGCUGUAGACGUAAGAAGAAAAAGGACCUAUGGAAAGAAGCCAGGAGACAUAGAUGACAAAAUUUUAAAGCCACAUAAAAGAAGAAAAUGAUAUAAGGACGUUUUGAGUUCGGGAUUGUAUAGAGAGAGACAGUUUUAUGUCGUAGGAUAUUAAGUAGGGAUGUCGCAACAUGCGGGUGUUCCUCUGCCCUUACAGUCAUCUAGCAGUUUAGCCAGCCUGUGCCAGGUGGCACUUGAAAAGUUGCUGCUGCAGGCAUUUUGCUUACUCGGCAAGUUGGAGGCCAAAUCAAAGCCCAUGCGCCAUGUACCGGAGAAUGGGGUGGUGUCCUUCCUGUGCCAGAAAGAGCGUGAUGCACCACUCGCUGAAAUUCAGGCAUACCUGUCAUCCAAAAUGCCUACCAGCUGCAGACAGGGAAUGGACAACAAUAUGUUAAAUACACUUGCAACUCCAAGAUUUGACAAGAACUCAUUGAUAAGUAACACUGAGUUUAAAUUCCAAAUCCUGAAUAUAGUUGUAGGUGCUUCUGAAAUGAAGCAGGUAUUAAAGAAGCUCUUCCAAUGUAUGUUGUUAGGAUAUGUGACUAGUCUAGACUGUAGUGGCUUUUGUAGUUAUGGGAGUUACUGGGUUGUUAGAGCAAAGAGAAUCCUAUAUACAUGGGAUAAGAUACAUGGAGGAGGGGAAUACAUUGAGGGCAUUGAGUCAGGCAAAGUGUGUACAGUUCAGCUAGAGUCAUUAUGGCAUGACAUGGUGCAUGAGUACAAAACAGUUGCAAAUACAGCUGCAGUUAAUUCAGCUAAGUAUUUUCACCAGUCGACAAGAAUCAACAUUGACUAUUUUUGCAAGUGGUGAACUUAUAUGGGCAAUAGGAUGCAACUGUCCUGUCUUACAGGAACUGAGUAUAUAUGUAGACACAUCAGACAGAAGAAAAUACUCAGCUCACUUUGAAGAAAAAUUUUUAGAUGGAUUAUCUGCAUUGUAUGGGCAUAGAAAGUAUACUCAGACAUCUUUUCGAGGAAAACCAGUUGGAUGCCCUCAGAUUCGAAGUAUAAUUAUGCCAACACUUCAGAUUCAAGAAAAAAUGGAGGAAUGCUCAGGCAAACUACUCUGUUACUUACACCAUCUUGAAGUAUUAAGAAAUGUUGGGACAACAGGUUCUAUUGUAGCCAUGUUUAAAGAGAAAGACUACAUUUGCAGACCACUAUCACUAACUUAUGUGGAUGAUGCUCGAGCACCAGAGACUUUAGAUUUAGUGUGCAGACAUUUUGGUGUUGAUAUAAAAAAACUUUUAUCCAACGUUACCAGUGUUAGAUUUUGGAAGACUCAUUGUGGAAUGAGACUUUUGCUUAAUUUCCCUCUGUUGAAAGAAUUAGAACUAUUGACAAUAGAAGAUGCUGAGCUAGAGUUUGGCAAUAACUUUGCCAAACUAACGCAUUUCAGAGGCAACUUUCGCUGGGCUGAGAAGAGACUGGCAGAUUUCUCUCGGAAAGUUCCUCGCUUAGAAACAAUAUUCUUCCUGUGUGGCUCCUUGUUUAAACGUAAGACCAAGAAGACCAGAGAGAUAAAGUCAUUCCCUAAGGCACGUGUUGUUAAAUUCUACCAGCUAACACACAUUGAAUCUGAUCCUGUCAUUAACUUCUUGAAGAGCACCAAAGUCCUCACUCACUUAUUCUUUGAAGAUAAUGAUAAGAGAAUCAGAGAUAAAAAAAAACUCCUAUAUUUGAGGCAAUAAACGACAAAGCCAUUGCCUCUGUUGCCCUUUCCCUGAAGAACUUGGUUUGCUUUCAUGCCCACGUUCGAGGAUUCCGCGGGGUUUGUAAGUUUUCCCUGACUGAAAAGAGUGUCCACAGUCUUCUUGCCAAUUGUCAAAAUUUGACUGAUUUGGGAAAUUUAUUUAUCUGGGAGAUUCCUUACCAAAAUGUUCUGGCCCUAAAGAAACAGGCAAAGGAGGGGAACUGGGAAAUAGGUUUUACACCACAUGAUGAUGUGUAGAUUGAUAUGCAAGGAAAUCAUUGAAUUUUAAAACAACAUUCUAAUUGUAGAUUAUUCAGCACAUAUAAGUACUUGACACAAUAAUUUAAUUAAGCCACUUAAGCCUCAGGUUUAUCAAUUUGACUCGUCCCAAGUCCCUAAGCAUAACUGGCUGCACAACUUUCCUUUUGGGUACAUUAUGAUUAGACUACCUUGGGCUACAGGCUUCAAAAUGUUGUUCAUAUGUUAUAACUGCAGAAUAAUGUUUAACAAAUUUAUUGUAAUAUUAUAACACCUUUUCUCUUUUAUAGGUUUGUAAAGUUAAGGAAAGUCAUUAGUGAAGUGGAUCUUACCAACAGUAUUCUAAAAUACAUAAACUUUAGCCUUUAUAUUUUGGUGAGGUAAGUACUUUAGAACAUCAGUGCAUGUAACUACAGUAGCCAAUGUAUUAUAUUUGUUAUUAUGAGAGAGAGAACUAAUAUUAUAUUAUAUUAUAUAUUGGGUAUGUUUAAGUGUCUUUACAGGAAAUGUAUUAACAGAAACUAUGUGUAUGAUGGAUGUUGGUGUUCUCCUAGCAUAAGCCACUGAUAGGGCUGUUGUGUAAACUUACUCCAGGUAACCAAGUAACUAUCUGGCAUCUAACCAACCAUCCCUGUUCAGUACAUGAUGACAGAAUUUGUGUUUGUUGACUGCAUUGAAUAAGACUGCAAAACUAUACGGCAACUUUAAACCUCUUAUGAAUUGAAUAAUAAAUGUGUGGGACAACAUUUAUUAAUUCUUUUACACAUAGAUGACUCCACUUGUACUUAAAGUGGGCAUGGCAUGUAUGUACAUGCUAUGCCCAUCAACUUUGUUAAAAUUAUAGUUUGUAAAGGGGUACUAAGUACAUUAAGAACUUGUAAUAGAAUAUCUGUUUCAUUUUGAGCUUGUGUAUUUAAUGUCAAAUGUUUUAGCUGUACAAACAAUGAUUUGACGAUGAUCUGCAAGUGAUCUUACAGAAGCAGAUCUGUUGUUAUUAGACAGAAAUAAUUCAGAUAGAUUACAUUAAUUUAAGGCUCAUUUUUGUUUGUAUACAUUUUGUACUUAUAAAUUAAGUAUUAGGAGAUUUUUUACAUUAGUGUGUAAAAAGACUUUGAAGAUGGAAAAGUUUUAUAUAUUUUUACCGAUAUCAGUGAAUGUUACUGUUAAUACUGUGUGCUAUUUGGCUGUGAAUUUAUGCAUAUUUGUGUCCUAAUGUUAAUGAUGCUACAAAUUUCUACUGUUUGCAAUUAUUUUUUCAUAAAAUGAAACAAAUAAAGCUUUUGAUAACU
RNA transcript from Penaeus chinensis, 3358 nucleotides. RefSeq lists it as uncharacterized. The transcript has 3 exons. NCBI's taxonomy places the organism in Eukaryota, Metazoa, Arthropoda, Malacostraca, Decapoda, Penaeidae. The record is from RefSeq and is a predicted model, not a curated record.